CGGGUGCUCUCCCUUUCAACUAGAACAAUAGGGUUUUGAAGAUGGAUGUGUAGUAACAGCAGCCUUUUCAGUUCUCUCUAUGACUCCUCAUUAUAAGGUUAUUUUCUUGUGUUUUGAAAUAGAAAUGCUGCCUUUGAUGCUACCGUUUAAAUUUUCUUUUUUCUUUCUUUCUUUUUUUUUUUCCUAAGGAAAGCGUCCCCUACUUAUUACCUUGCCCUGUCACCUGGGCACAAUGUGGUAAACAGCAUUCUAAAUAAAUAUUUUCUAAUAUGCCUUCAAGUACAACUUUCCUUUUGAGUGCAAAUAGGAUAAUUGGGGAGAGGAGAAGAAAGCAGCCCUGAAUGCUCUGUUUUAAGCAGGGAAGAGUGUGAUUGUUUGGCUGCUCUGAUGUGGGGCUCAUCAGCAGUUUCCAGGAGAGCCUGGGGAAUUCAGGAGCAGCCUUUUAGUGACUGGGCUGCCUGCAUUUGAAUCUCAGCAGGGGCAAAGAUUUGAGGCAUUCUUCUGACUAGAAAGACAGAGUUUGUCUCUUUGUCCCUGGCAUCCUUCCUAGUGUUUCUGUCGAUUUUUCUGCUCCCCAUGACUUACUUUCACUGGCCUCUUUUCUCCAGGGCUGUGCAUUUCCUAGCAUGGCUUUCAUGCUCUCCCUCUUUCCCCCCCGUCUCAGCUCCUGUAUGUGUCUCUGUUCCCCUCCAUCUUUCUGUUAGCACCUUCCCAUCUCUCUUAUGUUUCUCCUGACAUAUGCAUCUGCUCAACUUGCUACCCUCCUUUUGCUACCCGGCUUUUGGCCUCCUGACAACACAAGGUGCGGCUGCCGUCCUGACAGGCAGCAACAGGCAGGGGAGAGGCAGGCUGUGUGCUACCGGAAGGGAAGUUCAGGAGCAGUUUCAGGAUGCCUGAAAAGCUCAAAUAAGUGAAUUGGGCCCCAUCUGAAAGUCUCUGAAGGAUCCUGCAAUUGCGUCUGACCAGCACAUAAUAAUCCUGCGAGGAGGUUUUCUCUGUAAUUCACUCAGUGCCUCAGAGCUGGAGCUGGACAAGAGAUACAUAAUUUAUACAGGCAAUUACACAUCAAUUGGUUAUUAAAAGUGCCCUCAUUGAGAUGUACUGUAUUGAGGACACAGAGAUAAAUCUGGUUCCCCAGGUAACAAGCUCUAGCUCACAGACAGGAGGCAAAUUUUCUGAUUCGGGAUUGGCGCAACUUCUCUGACCCUGCUCUUCUUUGCCUACAGUGUGGUUGCUCUGCCGGUGCGUGGGCGGGUGAAGAAAGAAACAGCGGGGAGAAAGCCACGGUAUGAAUAAUCGCCCCGUGCUUUUCUUGGAGCCCUUUCCUCUUGGGAAAAAAUA
RNAcentral lists this long non-coding RNA (1341 nucleotides) under Ovis aries (sheep). RNAcentral's name for it is "lncRNA (ENSOARG00000026100.1)". The record is from RNAcentral. Lineage: Eukaryota; Metazoa; Chordata; Mammalia; Artiodactyla; Bovidae.